Molecule: transfer RNA, 78 nt
Filed under: Spiroplasma sp.
Lineage: Bacteria; Bacillati; Mycoplasmatota; Mollicutes; Entomoplasmatales; Spiroplasmataceae
Also listed under: 1 other name
Description: tRNA-Met
Rfam family: tRNA
About the family: Transfer RNA (tRNA) molecules are approximately 80 nucleotides in length.
Source: RNAcentral
GGCGGGGUAGUUCAGUUGGUUUAGAACAUUCGGUUCAUACCCGAAAGGUCAUGGGUUCAAGUCCCGUCUCCGCUACCA